Unclassified non-coding RNA from Macaca fascicularis (crab-eating macaque), 147 nucleotides. It matches the Rfam family "Metazoan signal recognition particle RNA". From Rfam's summary of the family: The signal recognition particle (SRP) is a universally conserved ribonucleoprotein. It is involved in the co-translational targeting of proteins to membranes. The eukaryotic SRP consists of a 300-nucleotide 7S RNA and six proteins: SRPs 72, 68, 54, 19, 14, and 9. Lineage: Eukaryota; Metazoa; Chordata; Mammalia; Primates; Cercopithecidae. The record is from Ensembl.
GCUGGGCGUGGUGGUGUGUGCCUGUAGUCCUAUCUACUCAGGAGGCUGAGGUGGGAGGAUUGCUUGAGCCCAGGAGGUUGAGGCUGCAGUGAGCUGAGAUUGCGCCACUCAGUUCAGCCUGGGUGACAGAGCAAGACCCUAUCUCAA